RNAcentral lists this unclassified non-coding RNA (1247 nucleotides) under Hevea brasiliensis (rubber tree). The record is from RNAcentral. Lineage: Eukaryota; Viridiplantae; Streptophyta; Magnoliopsida; Malpighiales; Euphorbiaceae.
GAAAAAGGAGCUCAAAUUGCAUAUCAUAAAUAAACAAAGUGCAAUAUCUCACACACAAAUUCACACUUGUACAAACAUUCUUUUUCUUGGGGAUUGAAAUUGUCGGGAUUAGAGCCCUUGACUAACUACAUUAUGAGGUAGGCAUUUCACCACUUACCUAUUAGCCAAUGUCCAGACUUUUCAUUUUAUAGUUACCAGAAAUGUGAACUUUAGCUGCCAAGUUCACACCUUCAUAAACAAAUAGUCACCCCUGAAUCAGAACUGACACGGCCAAAUAUAUCAGAUACCAUUACCAAAAUAAUUCUUCAGAGCAGGUAUAGAUUUGAUCUUCCCAUCAUCUGCAAAACGGCGAUUAAGAUAGUCACUGUAAUCAAAAGGCUUAUACAGCAAGGGGUGGUCUUCGUCCACUAGCUCUUCCAAGGCUUUUAUUAUGUAGCCUUCCUUUGGGACUGAAAAGAACGCAGCAGAGUACCUUGUCUUGCUUCCACUCAGCAUAACUCGAUGGUAUGGGCUAUACAGUCGACCAUUUGUCCAAGCAUUGAAAGAUUCCCCGAUUAUGAUUAAAAAAGAAUCUGGUGAAAGCUUCACAGGGAUCCAUUCUCCAUCUUUGGUUUGUAUCUCUAACCCAUCCACCUCAUUUUGGUACAGUAUGCUUGUUAUGUUCUUGUCUGUGUGAGCCAUGAGCCCUGUCUUUUUCUCUGUAGUUUGGGGUGCCUCAUAUUUGGCGACCCUGAGAAGAUUGUAUGUUGAGUUUAUAUGCUCAUCCAAGUAUUUCUCAACACCCAAGCUUUCCACAAUCAUCCUCCUUACUAUUUGCCCUAAUUCCAGCACUGGUUCAGAGAAUAAAUGCACAGUUUUGCUGCCAAAAGAAAUGAACGAGUGUAUGGCUUAGUCAACUUAACAUGAACAUGAACAUGAACAUUAUAUUUUGUAAGUAAACCGGCCGGCAGCAAGAAAGAAAGGCACAGAGAAACUCACAAACCUGAUUUUUAUGUUCCCUUCAGGCCACAAGACAUUGGUGAAGUUUUCGACCAUAUCGUAGAUACUAGGUUCAACUAUGCACAGGCCCUCAUAGAUUGAUGACCUUGCUGAAGUUGAUCCAAGAUAACCAUGAUAUGGUUUUUCAGAAACAUUGCGCCGUUUCGUUUCCAAAGGCAAUUGCAACAUCUCUUCCAUUGCUCCAUUCAUUGCGUUUCGAAGGUCUUGAGGAAUUUUGUUGAACAAAGCCUGGAAGCAACCAAACUCCG